AUUAAAGGUUACGGUACAAGAUGAGUAUGCGUCCUAUUAGCUAGAUGGAGUGGUAACGGCACCCCAUGGCAACGAUAGGUAGGGGCCCUGAGAGGGGGAUCCCCCACACUGGUACUGAGACACGGACCAGACUCCUACGGGAGGCAGCAGUGAGGAAUAUUGGACAAUGGGCGGAAGCCUGAUCCAGCCAUGCCGCGUGCAGGAAGGCUGCCCUAUGGGUUGUAAACUGCUUUUGUACGGGAAGAAACACUCCUUCGUGAAGGAGCUUGACGGUACCGUAAGAAUAAGGAUCGGCUAACUCCGUGCCAGCAGCCCGCGGUAAUACGGAGGAUCCAAGCGUUAUCCCGGAAUCCUUGGGUUUAAAGGGUCCGUAUGUGGACUGGUCAGUCAGAGGUGAAAUCCUGCAUCUUAACUUGUAGAACUGCCUUUGAUUACUGCUAGUCUUGAGUCAUUAUGAAGUAGUUUAGAAUAAUGUAGUGUAGCCGGUGAAAUGCAUAGAUACUUACAUAG
Molecule: ribosomal RNA, 510 nt
Filed under: uncultured bacterium
Lineage: Bacteria
Description: bacterial SSU rRNA
Rfam family: Bacterial small subunit ribosomal RNA
Source: RNAcentral